RNAcentral lists this ribosomal RNA (404 nucleotides) under uncultured bacterium. RNAcentral describes it as "bacterial SSU rRNA". It matches the Rfam family "Bacterial small subunit ribosomal RNA", at positions 355 to 776 of the family's 1533-position model. The record is from RNAcentral.
UGGGGAAUAUUGCACAAUGGGGGAAACCCUGAUGCAGCGACGCCGCGUGAGUGAAGAAGUAUUUCGGUAUGUAAAGCUCUAUCAGCAGGGAAGAGAAUGACGGUACCUGAGUAAGAAGCCCCGGCUAACUACGUGCCAGCAGCCGCGGUAAUACGUAGGGGGCAAGCGUUAUCCGGAUUUACUGGGUGUAAAGGGAGCGUAGACGGCGAAGAAAGUCUGAAGUGAAAGCCCGCGGCUCAACUGCGGAGGUGCUUUGGAAACUUUUUUGCUGGAGUACCGGAGAGGUAAGCGGAAUUCCUAGUGUAGCGGUGAAAUGCGUAGAUAUUAGGAGGAACACCAGUGGCGAAGGCGGCUUACUGGACGGUAACUGACGUUGAGGCUCGAAAGCGUGGGGAGCAAACAGG